RNAcentral lists this ribosomal RNA (460 nucleotides) under uncultured bacterium. RNAcentral's name for it is "bacterial SSU rRNA". It matches the Rfam family "Bacterial small subunit ribosomal RNA", at positions 33 to 507 of the family's 1533-position model. The record is from RNAcentral.
ACGCUGGCGGCGUGCUUAACACAUGCAAGUCGAGCGGGGAUACGGGACUUCGGUUCUGUAUUCUAGCGGCGGACGGGUGAGUAACGCGUGAACAAUCUGUCCUACACAGGGGGAUAACACUUGGAAACAGGUGCUAAUACCGCAUAAGACCACGACGUCACAUGGCGAUGGGGUAAAAGAGAUUCGGUGUAGGGUGAGUUCGCGUCCGAUUAGCUAGUUGGUGAGGUAACGGCCCACCAAGGCGACGAUCGGUAGCCGACCUGAGAGGGUGAUCGGCCACAUUGGAACUGAGACACGGUCCAAACUCCUACGGGAGGCAGCAGUGGGGAAUAUUGCACAAUGGGCGAAAGCCUGAUGCAGCAACGCCGCGUGAGGGAAGACGGUCUUCGGAUUGUAAACCUCUGUCCUUGGUGAAGAAAUAAUGACGGUAGCCUUGGAGGAAGCCACGGCUAACUACGUG